UGAAACAUCUAAGUACCCUGAGGAAAAGAAAUCAACCGAGAUUCCCUUAGUAGUGGCGAGCGAACGGGGACCAGCCCUUAAGCUGGACAACUGGUAGGAGAAGGCUCUGGAAAGUGCCGCCAUAGUGGGUGAUAGCCCCGUAUCCGAAACCUGAGUCUGGUGAAAUCGAGUAGGACGGGACACGUGAUAUCCUGUCUGAACAUGGGGGGACCAUCCUCCAAGGCUAAAUACUCCUGACUGACUGGUAG
RNAcentral lists this ribosomal RNA (248 nucleotides) under Chloropicon mariensis. Its description in RNAcentral is "partial Bacterial large subunit ribosomal RNA". It matches the Rfam family "Bacterial large subunit ribosomal RNA", at positions 194 to 490 of the family's 2925-position model. Lineage: Eukaryota; Viridiplantae; Chlorophyta; Chloropicophyceae; Chloropicales; Chloropicaceae. The record is from RNAcentral.